AGGAGUGGGGCGGCCGGGUAUAAUCGAAGGGUUUCAGACAUGAUGUUUUGAAGGUAAGGUAGCUUAGCAAUAUCUGGUUCAUCAAUCAACCUUUCUUGACCAAUUUGAGAAUCUAGUUCCGCCUUGGCUUUCUUCAACACAUUUGGGUGAUUUGAGUAAAUUUGACAUUGCCCAUUCUAAUGCGACUGCAGAUGUGUCAGUUCCCGCAAGAAGCAUAACCUGUCAUAGCAAUCUCAACAUGUUAAGUUCAAGAUGAGACAGUGUUCUUCUUGAUGCUAUUAAAUAAACAGAGAAAAUUUGACUUACAAAUACAAGCCCUUUGAUAAUUGCAUCAGUGUAGUACUCAGGCUCUAAUUCUUGUAAGGAAAGGAGAUGAUCGAUCAUUGUAUUUCCUCCUUUUCCAUUUCGAAGCUCAUCAAUUAACCCUUGCAGGAACCCGUCCAUCCUGUCAGCAAGCCUCAUCAAUUUUUUCUCAUAAUUACCAACCCAUUUCAAUAUUGGCAGAUAAUUUCCUGGAUUCCCUGCUCCACCAUUUUCAAGUACCUCUGCUACAAGGUCCCUAAAGUCCUUUGCCUCACUGUCAUCAGUCACAUCUUCACCAUAAUAUCUCUUCCCCGCAAUCAUUCUCAUGAGAUUAUUAAAUGUCAAGUCUGCAAACAUUGAUUUAAGCUCUACCUUGGCAAAAGCUUCAUGGGAAUUACGAGAUAGUUUCAACAAUAAUCUUUUCACUUCAUCUUUUCUAACACCGUGAAACAUUUUAAGGCGAUUUGAUGAGAAGAUCUCAAUGGUACUAAUACGACGGAGGUUACGCCAGUGGUCCCCGUACGGUGCGCUUAUAACAGUGGUAUGGUUGUAGCCUAGGUACUUACUCACAAGCAAGUUUGGGCGGUUCGCCAGCACGAUGUCAUUUCU
This 912-nucleotide long non-coding RNA is filed under the name Theobroma cacao (cacao). Its description in RNAcentral is "long non-coding RNA (TCAC_LNC000056)". The record is from RNAcentral. Lineage: Eukaryota; Viridiplantae; Streptophyta; Magnoliopsida; Malvales; Malvaceae.